RNAcentral lists this long non-coding RNA (2553 nucleotides) under Lepisosteus oculatus (spotted gar). RNAcentral describes it as "lncRNA (ENSLOCG00000022170.1)". Lineage: Eukaryota; Metazoa; Chordata; Actinopteri; Semionotiformes; Lepisosteidae. The record is from RNAcentral.
GCCUUCCUUGCCUCCUACUGGACCUGCUAUAAAGACACUUCUGAUCACUAUGGAAAAACAGGGAGUAUAUUUUCCUUCGAAACCUUUGAAAAUCACCCUGCUCAGCUCUGGAGCCCGAUUUUGUCGCAGACCACUUUGUCCAAAACUCUGCCUCAGCAUGCUGUGCAUUGUUGAAUUGCAGCGUGACAACACAAGCUCUCUGUGGAAUCAGAGCUCGCAUGUGAUCCCAUCAUCUCAAGAUUCCUGCUGAGCUCAGGGUUCUAGAGAAGAUCAACAGAACGAAACUUCUCAAGAACAGCAAGGCAUUCAGACAUUUAAAAUUUGCUUGAUUUCCAGUUAAAUUAUCAGAGAUCCUGAAGAGAUCAGUGCAAACACAACCUACUUUUGUUUUUGAUUAAAUUGACUUUUCAGACACUAGAACCUGCUUUUAAUAAAUGAAAGAUGCCACUUUACUUACUGCUGGCCACAAUGGCAUGUAUUUAUUUUUGUUUGCUACUUUAAUACCUUAAUCUGACUAGCUAAGCAUGUUUUCAUUGUUGAAGGCUUUAUGGACAUAAGGAGUUUUUCAAGGAACAUUAAAUGUCACAAUUAGUGUGUCAACUACCUCAGCAGAUUAAAUGUUCUAUUUUCCUGCACUUUUUUUGCAUUCAGAUUCUGUUUUGGGAUGUUCUCAAACACUAAAAAUAGCAUAUCUCAGGACACACAGGAGCCAGACUCUGUCACUGACUCUUGUCUCCAGCUCUCUGUCUUUUGCAGGUGACCAAAACUAGCUUUUUGAUUCCAAAUGCCAAUCGCCUGCACCUGUCACAGAGUACUGAGAUGGGCUGUCUCACGAUGCUGCGUUAAUCCACAUUCAUCAGACAAACAGGCAUGGCAGGUCACCGCAAGCUGACGUUUUAUGUGCAGUGACGGUGGAGGCAACAGGGACUUUAAACAGCUUUCCUGGAAAAGAGCUGUAACCAUUAAGGAAAACCAAAAGCUCAUGCUUGUGGUGAUUUGCACAGAAAAGGAGCUCCUGCUUUCCGUCAACGGCCAUGUUCCUGAAUGGGACUAGCAGUCCAGGGGUUCUGUAACCUGUGGACUAACUGGAGUAAAGGUUCCCUCUUAAAACCGAAAAAGUGGGGGCUAAUUAAAUUUCAUUUGACAUUGCACUGAUCAUUACCUUGCUGUAUAAAUACAAAAGUAUAAAUAAUACAUGUGCUUACUGAAUUAAGAAAAAAUUGCAUAAUUGUCUCUAGCACUGUCGGGCAUUCUUUGUGAAUGGCUUAUUUAAAGACCAAAGUAGUAGAGGGGAUUACAAUACUCACAAGCUGACUAGAAGAGUGAGCAAAUGAGCGCAGGGGAAAAGAGAAUAAUAGAUGCAGCUCCAAGUAGCUUUUUACACGAUGCCAGGAAGUGUCAACAAGAAGGUGCAUUCAUUUAGUGGAAUUAUUGCACUGACAAAGGCCGUUUACCUUUGCAGAUUGGAUGUGCGACUCCUAAGAGUUUGACUCCCCUCAUCAGUUUAAUUGCGCUGCUUUUCCCUGAAAGGAUGCAUCAUUGCCUGCUGAGACUAUUCAGAAGUGUGUGUUUCACUCUUAGGGUUGAGCACAAACCAUCAAAUACACCUGUCAUUGGAUUUCAAUACUACAAAAAAGAUUAACAAAACAGCAUUUAGUGUUUAGCAUGGCUACACUGUACUCAUGAUUCCUAGGCAGGAGGAAUCUGAUCUGUAGCUCACAAUAACAUCACAUCUUGUUACUUUUAAUACGUUUUCUAAAAAAAAAAGGAUAAAGGAAUCAACUGCUAGGAUAUUUUUUUUAUCAUCAUUACCGAUUUGGCUGAUAAUUCUGUAUCAUUCUGUAACAUGAUUUUGUAACAUUGAAUCUUAAAUAUUGUACUACAACCUGUAUCUUUACAAGGAGAAGAAAAUCACCAACUCUCCAUGUUUAUAAAAUGAACAUAUCUUGCUUUAUAGUGGUUUUGCCUGAUUUGCACCAUUGAGUUUCAAACUGUACAUGCCCAUACUUUUACCAUGGUAUUUCACAGUCAUCCUUAAAAGGUUUGUUUUAAAACUUUUUUCCUGCAGUGUUGAUAGACAGCACCUACUGGGUUAAGUUAGCUCCAACAAUUUCAUGAUAGCAGUAAUUUCAUUGCUUUGUAAGUUGCAGGGAACAACUCGGGAGUCUCAGUUUCUCUCUUAUACAUUUCUAUAUAAAAACAUUUUCCUCUGAAUGAAGCCGGAGAACCUGUCAGGGACAGAAUGAAUCGGGGUUUUGCAGAUCUGUAGAGUGUGAAGCACAGGCAGUGCUCCACAGAGACAGAGUGGAGCGAAAAGGACUGUGUGUUCCUGAUCUACGAGCUGACAAGAGCCGGCACUCCAGAACUAAUCUGCGAGUGGCACAUGGCGUUAAAGCACAGGACGCUACAUUCUCGGAAAAACUAAGGCAUGGGACUGGGGGAGCCACAUGACUCACAGGAGGAGAGGAAAGACAGAGGACAGAUCUGGGAAUUGUUCUGCCAUAACAAUCACAUUCGUGGCUUCCUUAGUGCUUAUGAGCUAUUCAGUCUUGC